Molecule: ribosomal RNA, 212 nt
Filed under: uncultured Staphylococcus sp.
Lineage: Bacteria; Bacillati; Bacillota; Bacilli; Caryophanales; Staphylococcaceae
Description: partial 16S ribosomal RNA
Rfam family: Bacterial small subunit ribosomal RNA
Source: RNAcentral
CGGGAAACCGGAGCUAAUACCGGAUAAUAUAUUGAACCGCAUGGUUCAAUAGUGAAAGACGGUUUUGCUGUCACUUAUAGAUGGAUCCGCGCCGCAUUAGCUAGUUGGUAAGGUAACGGCUUACCAAGGCAACGAUGCGUAGCCGACCUGAGAGGGUGAUCGGCCACACUGGAACUGAGACACGGUCCAGACUCCUACGGGAGGCAGCAGCG